Paramuricea clavata is the source of this 273-nucleotide non-coding RNA. NCBI's taxonomy places the organism in Eukaryota, Metazoa, Cnidaria, Anthozoa, Malacalcyonacea, Plexauridae. The record is from the annotation of a GenBank genome assembly.
CUACAUUUUUGGCGACGAGGAUGGCGGCUAAAUUGUUAACUGAUGUACACGGAUUGGGUCCGUUUGAUGGGAGCGUUGGCUUCGAGCGUUUGAACUAUUUGCCGAAGGAAAAGGGAUCACAAAUCAUGGGCAAAAGAAAGCUCUGUUGCUUCAAACAGCCGGAAUGAGCGCGCAGAACAUUUUCUUUACCUUACCGGACGAAACAGAGGGAACGAAUGUUUUCGUAAAAAGCGAUAAGUGCGUUAAACAAGCACUUUAAACCGCAGGCUAAGU